CUCACUUUGCCCAUUCAUCACAAGAGCACGUUCAAUUUAUCAACCCCUCUCGAAGUUGAGCCUGAUUAUACUCCUUUUUUUAACCCACUGCCUUCAGCAGCACUUGGCUAGGACUGGCAGAGACGGAAGGCACUUUCUCCUUGUCAGUUGAACAUGGACACUCCGCUACUUCCUAUCCCUUUUGUAGGAGAAGAACAUAAGAGAUUACAGCGAGUUUUGGCCAGCAGCUAGCUAUAGAAAAAGUUAACUGACACCUGCGACGAAGAGUGGACAUGUUUGCAUUUCUCUGUGAAAGUCAGCAUGGACAGUAAUCAUGCCUUCCUGUCCAUGUCAAGGUCAUUCCAUGAGCAAUGAUGUCCCCAGAAAGGUUUUCCUGAGGACGAUUAAUGUAACUGGUCGGUGGUUCCUGGUCCUCUAGCUGAUGCUGUCCCCCACGACAGACCUCCACCCCCCGGACAUCAAGGUGGGCCUGGAGUACACUGUCAGAUCCCUACUGGACUCGACGUCAUAGGGGUCAGCUCUAGUAUCUGGUGGACUGGGAGGGGUGUGGCUCAGAGGAGCGUUGUUGGGUUCCAGUGGAGGGCAUUCUGGACCCCAACACCUGUGAUUUCCACCAUCGCCACCCGGACCGACCCGCUCCUUGUCCUCGGGGUCGUCCCCCUGGUUGGCGUUGUCCUGCUGCUGGAGCCGCAUGUGGGGGGGUCGUACUGUCACGUCUACUCCUCCGACGUACAACAUUGCCAGAGGACUUUUCACCGGUCCUGGCACUCAUCAAUACACACAGCUUGUAAUCAUUAUGAUUCACACCUGGACUCCAUUACCUUCAUCUCCUCCCCUUUAUAUGUCACUCUCCCAUGUUCACUCGCCAGUUGGUAUUGUUCUUGUGUAUCGGCGUUCCGCCUUAUGUUAGUGUCAUGUUCUUGCUUAUGUUGUUUUUUAAAAACGUUUCACUUGCACCUGCUUCCCACUCACCGCGCCAUCAUUACACAGAGGGGUGCGGUGGGCUGCCUUUAGCAACAUCAUUGGCGCCCAGGGAUAAAUCAUUUUUAAGGGUUAAGUGCCUUGCUCAAUGGAAGAAAGGAAAAUUUUUCCUUGCCGUCUCAUGGAUUUAAAUCAGGAACCUUUCAGUUACUGGCCCAAUGCACUUAAUCACUGGGCUACCACCACCACCACCUAAGUGCACUGGGCCAAGCAAAACGAACUGGCCCACUCAGAUCUAGCAUGGUUUUUGGGGAUGAAAUAAGGUUAGCAUGGGGCUAGCUAUAGCUACCAUCGGCCAAUAACCGUUUUAGCCAGUUUGGUUAUAGACGUUCAAUGUCUACUAUGAUGGUAAAGGUUUAUCUUGAUUUUUGUGUAAUAAUAUGACAAAUGCUGAGGUGUGUUGUGUUUCAAGGCUGCUAGUGGUUAGCUUUUAAAUACCAGCAGGGGUGUAAAAGGGGCUAUGCUAAAAGCCGGUUCGCUGUAUAAGUGAUAAAAAAAACUUUUAGCUGAUACAUAAUCAAGAAACAGGACAUGGUCAGAUGACGAGUUUGCUUUAUUCAGAGUACCAUUUUUUUUUUUCUUAAACAGUACUUGGUAUGAUGUGGGUUUUUACCGUCAUAUGUGGACAGUGGCUUCACUCCUGCUGUGUAUUCAUGCAUGUGUUCUUCUCUUCAUGUCACUUUUCCAAAUGCUUUUCCGACAUGACUUCGGUCAAAUACACUCCCAUGCAUUUAACCCAGGUAUUUGAAAAUAGUAGUAUACACAGAAAAACAUAUUUUAACCCUCAUAUUGUGUUGCGGGUCAAUUUGACCCAUUUCCACUUUUCAGUUGUCUAAAACACAAGUUAACCUCUCUUUUUCUCCAUGACAUUAAAUGACUUUUCCUCAUUCAAAAUUUGGACACACUGAUGUGUUUUGGAUUGUCUGUGAAUAGUUUGUAUACAAACAUGUCAUUGUGGGUCAUUUUGACGCCACGGCUUUCAUGUGUAUAGAUAUUUGCACAGGUCCAAAAUAUACACGUGUCUUUGAUGUAUUUUGUUUUGACUGGUUCUGAUUGCACGUUCAUAAUUAUAUUUGGGUGAUAAAGAUCUUUCCCAAGCUUCUCCUUCUCAGUGCUAGAGCAGCAGAUCUCUCCAAAAUGAAUUCCAAACAGUAAACAUUUAUUUGGGAGAAAGGAUAUAUGUUUAACAAAUAGUUAUUAAAUAUAGAGUUUUUGAAAUC
Oncorhynchus tshawytscha (Chinook salmon) is the source of this 2201-nucleotide long non-coding RNA. Lineage: Eukaryota; Metazoa; Chordata; Actinopteri; Salmoniformes; Salmonidae. The record is from Ensembl.